This 1495-nucleotide ribosomal RNA is filed under the name Pyrobaculum neutrophilum. RNAcentral describes it as "16S ribosomal RNA". It matches the Rfam family "Archaeal small subunit ribosomal RNA". Lineage: Archaea; Thermoproteati; Thermoproteota; Thermoprotei; Thermoproteales; Thermoproteaceae. The record is from RNAcentral.
ACCGGUUGAUCCUGCCGGACCCGACCGCUAUCGGGGUAGGGCUAAGCCAUGCGAGUCGCGCGCCCGGGGGCGCCCGGGAGCGGCGCACGGCUCAGUAACACGUGCCCAACCUACCCUCGGGAGGGGGACACCCCCGGGAAACUGGGGCCAAUCCCCCAUAGGGGAGGGGCGCUGGAAGGCCCCCUCCCCCAAAGGGAUGGCGGCCGAUCCGCCGCCAUCCGCCCGAGGAUGGGGGCACGGCCCAUCAGGUAGUUGGCGGGUUAAAGGCCCGCCAAGCCGAAGACGGGUAGGGGCGGUGAGAGCCGCGAGCCCCGAGAUCGGCACUGAGACAAGGGCCGAGGCCCUACGGGGUGCAGCAGGCGCGAAUACUCCGCAAUGCGGGCAACCGCGACGGGGCUACCCCGAGUGCCGGGCGAAGAGCCCGGCUUUUGCCCGGUCUAAAAAGCCGGGAGAAUAAGCGGGGGGCAAGUCUGGUGUCAGCCGCCGCGGUAAUACCAGCUCCGCGAGUGGUCGGGGUGUUUACUGGGCUUAAAGCGCCCGUAGCCGGCCCGGCAAGUCGCUCCUGAAAUCCCAGGGCCCAACCCUGGGGCGGGGGGCGAUACUGCCGGGCUAGGGGGCGGGAGAGGCCGCCGGUACUCCGGGGGUAGGGGCGAAAUCCGUUAAUCCCCGGAGGACCACCAGUGGCGAAAGCGGGCGGCCAGAACGCGCCCGACGGUGAGGGGCGAAAGCCGGGGGAGCAAAGGGGAUUAGAUACCCCUGUAGUCCCGGCCGUAAACGAUGCGGGCUAGCUGUCGGCCGGGCUUAGGGCCCGGCCGGUGGCGAAGGGAAACCGUUAAGCCCGCCGCCUGGGGAGUACGGCCGCAAGGCUGAAACUUAAAGGAAUUGGCGGGGGGGCACCACAAGGGGUGAAGCUUGCGGCUUAAUUGGAGUCAACGCCGGAAACCUCACCCGGGGCGACAGCAGGAUGAAGGCCAGGCUAACGACCUUGCCGGACGAGCUGAGAGGAGGUGCAUGGCCGUCGUCAGCUCGUGCCGUGAGGUGUCCGGUUAAGUCCGGCAACGAGCGAGACCCCCACCCCUAGUUGCUACCCCGUCCUACGGGACGGGGGGCACACUAGGGGGACUGCCGGCGUAAGCCGGAGGAAGGAGGGGGCCACGGCAGGUCAGUAUGCCCCGAAACCCCGGGGCUGCACGCGAGCUGCAAUGGCGGGGACAGCGGGAUCCGACCCCGAAAGGGGGAGGCAAUCCCGUAAACCCCGCCCCAGUAGGGAUCGAGGGCUGCAACUCGCCCUCGUGAACGUGGAAUCCCUAGUAACCGCGUGUCACCAACGCGCGGUGAAUACGUCCCUGCCCCUUGCACACACCGCCCGUCGCACCACCCGAGGGAGCCCUCUGCGAGGCCCCUUGCCGACGAGGUGGGGGGACGAGCAGGGGGCUCCCAAGGGGGGUGAAGUCGUAACAAGGUAGCCGUAGGGGAACCUGCGGCUGGAUCACCU